Molecule: non-coding RNA, 219 nt
Organism: Cinara cedri
Lineage: Eukaryota; Metazoa; Arthropoda; Insecta; Hemiptera; Aphididae
Source: the annotation of a GenBank genome assembly
CCUGUAUAAUGCGACAGUUGCAGAGGUCCGCUUCGGAAUGUACAAAAACGCGCGAUAUAUUAUAAUUAUUUGGCUUGAAAUCGGAUUACGGUUGUGUGGAGACGCAGCUGUACAAGGAAGAAGGGAAAGGGGAAACGCCCGCGGGUCGCCGUAAUUUGAAAUAUUUGAUCGUUUAAAAAAUUAUGGGAUGUUGGAUUUUCGAGGCGAAAUACUGAAACU